Molecule: long non-coding RNA, 716 nt
Organism: Xyrauchen texanus (razorback sucker)
Lineage: Eukaryota; Metazoa; Chordata; Actinopteri; Cypriniformes; Catostomidae
Exons: 5
Source: RefSeq, a predicted model, not a curated record
UUGCCUGAGCGGAGCCAGAGAGGACAUCACAGGACAUUACCUCCAGUGUUGGAUUACUGCUUUAAAUUGAAAACUGAGGCGAUAUUUCAUGAACAAGAACGCCACACACUGCAGCGACUGCAUUUAGAUAGUGUGUAGCUUCCUGUUCACAAGGAAAGUGUGAGAGGGCUGUCUGCAAUUGGACAUUCUGAGAUGGAAAGAGACUUUGGCCCCCUGCUCCCUUCAAGAGGAGGAGGCAGCUGACUACUGAUGAGCUUAGGAUCAUAGCAGAGUAGGACAAGGCUCAUGAGGGCAUGAGCACACAGGAGGAAGAUCUGCUGGACCAGGAACUACAGCAGGAACACCCAGACCACAAGGAUAUGGUGGAUGAGAUGGAACCUGAGCCCCAGCCAAGACCAUCAACUGGGCUGGUAAAUCCACUGCAAUGGCUUUGAAGUCUGCGCCGGUCUGCUGGAGCUUCAGGGAACUAGGGUAUUUCCAGGACCUACGAUGGAGAUGGAAACAUUGGUCCGGGAACCCCACGCACCACAGGCUGCCCCUGAUCGAGCAGGAGCAUAUGGGAUACCAUGAGAUUGGGAGAGUGACAUAAAAGGACCACGCCAGCGCCAGAUCAAGAGAGAGAGACUGGGUCAAGAGCCUUACCCGAAGCUAUAUUAUUGUGAAACUGAUGUGUUUAAGUGACUACAUCCCUGUGCAGCUGAUGAGUUAUUGUGAAG